Molecule: transfer RNA, 71 nt
Filed under: Marmota monax (woodchuck)
Lineage: Eukaryota; Metazoa; Chordata; Mammalia; Rodentia; Sciuridae
Description: tRNA.Ala
Rfam family: tRNA
About the family: Transfer RNA (tRNA) molecules are approximately 80 nucleotides in length. Their secondary structure includes four short double-helical elements and three loops (D, anti-codon, and T loops).
Source: RNAcentral
GAGGUUGUGGCUCAUUGGUAGAGUGCUUGCCUAGCAUGUGUGAGGCACUGGGUUCGAUUCCCAGCACCACA